CAUGUGUCCUCUCUUCCUCUGUGCUGGAAGUUGUCCUCAAGCACCUCCUCAGUUGACUCAGGGUCUGUUCAAAAUCCACUGAUGAAAGCAAGUCACAUGACCAAGGCAGAAGUCACUGGGAUAGAUAAGAAUAUCCCAUCUCCCAUGAAGCACUGAUGGAGAGAAAGUAAUUAUGAACAAAUAAGGGAGCACUUUUUAAAAGAGUAAAUGGAGUAGCCACUAAGUAUCAAUGAAGAAAGUGAUGCGUCAGCAUUGGACAGCUGAGACCAGCAGGGUGCUUCUGCUGAAUACAGAUCAUCGAUUUCCUCUUCCUCAGAAAGAUAUUCCUCCAUUUACUCUCUCAAAACCCUUGCUUCCAGUCUAUGUAGCUACAUGCUGUGUGUGAAGUCAAAUCACACUGCUAUAAUAGAGGUGUCUGUGAUUGUUCCUGAUUCAGACAAGACUUUCAGAAGACAAAUACUCCAGUCUUCAUUAGAUUACAGAAAUACAUAAAUAAACCAACAAAGCCAUAGACCUUAGUUCACAUAAAUUGAUAAGAA
Hyaena hyaena (striped hyena) is the source of this 539-nucleotide long non-coding RNA. RefSeq lists it as uncharacterized. Lineage: Eukaryota; Metazoa; Chordata; Mammalia; Carnivora; Hyaenidae. The record is from RefSeq and is a predicted model, not a curated record. The transcript is spliced from 3 exons.